This is a long non-coding RNA of Myiozetetes cayanensis, 5382 nucleotides long. RefSeq lists it as uncharacterized. The record is from RefSeq and is a predicted model, not a curated record. NCBI's taxonomy places the organism in Eukaryota, Metazoa, Chordata, Aves, Passeriformes, Tyrannidae. The transcript is spliced from 3 exons.
UGUUGCAACCUCGAUGAUAAACACAUGGAAAAAGCUGUUACUGCUUUGCGGAUUGCUGGAAUCUGGGUAGACGUUAGAAAAAUAAACAAAGCGGUUACACCACACCAGUUCUGUAAAUUCACCGGUACAGUCAAGGAAAGGCAGCAAAACCCUGGGUUUAGAAGACUGUGAGCCAGUUUCCUGCAUACAACUAUAAUUAAUUUACGUGCAGAGAUCAAAGAUCCGAGGGCGAAGGAAAUGAUUGAUUCCGCCAGAAAACGCUUCCCUGGCACAGCCCACGGACAGCCGCCACCCACGGCAGGUCCAGUGCUGUGCUGUUCACCCACCACACUGCACGGUGGCCCUCCCACAGUGCCCAUUCUCUGGUCCCUUCCACCAGGUUCCCUGAACACACUGGACGCCAAGCACCUUUUCAAGUCAGUGGUGCACAGUGCUCUGGUCCCUCCAUCUUCAACAGAUGAAGCAAACAGAUUACAAAGGAUAAUAUGGUUCCAGACUGAAACUCCACUUGCUGUAUUUAUGUUGUGCAACUCAAUGCAGGCCCUCUCAUUUCAGCUGUUUGAAAUGAUGUGUCACUAGGAGGAGGUCACAGGUGACUGGAAAGUUCAACCUACUUAGCUCAAUUAUCCAAGUUUCAUUUCCAAAUUGUGUUCAAUUUCAUCUUCCUGCUUCCCUCCAAAUUAUCUUAGAGGAAAAAAAAAAUCAAACGAAAGCAGACAAUUUAAGCCAAAUCCUGUAUACCAUUAUUUAUAUGCAAAAUCAUUUUUGUGAUAUAUACUCCCCUUAAUGACUAUGGGAUGCCAGAUCUUUCCAAGCAAAUUUACAAACCUAGCCAUCAAAUUAUUUCAAAGGCAGGCCUAUUAGGGACAAAAAUAAUUAUGAACUUUCAGAAGCUUUGUAAAAAAAUAAGUUUCUGAAUGUUGUCUCUUUAAAUUUUUCUUAAGUUUGUUUUUAAUUUAAGCCUGGAGGCAUAGUAGAGAGAUAUGCAGAGUCUAAUAAGGAGUUUGGAAAAUAAUGUGCUGUAAUCCAGUGCUGAGCUAUUUCUCCAUAAAAUAUGGAUAAGAAAUCAAUUCAUAAGCACAAAUAUCUACUAGGACUGAGUUUUAACAAACAUUUCACAUGAUCAUUCUUAUAUGCAUUAUUAAGGAGAUAACAAAAGUGCUUCAAAUCAAGCCCUAUACAGUCACAUCUGGAAAUGCUCUUUCCUGUCUAAUUUUCAUUUUUUCCCCUCAAAAAAAUUUUAGAAGAAAAACUAGUCUGUCCCCUCAUAUAUUAAUUGUUACCAUCAGCUUUUAAUCAGCAACAUGUAUAGUUAGAUUUACAGAAUUCAUUCCAUGUUGCCCCUUUAGAGAACAGUAAAAUGAAGAUAGUGUCUUUAUUCAUUUAUAGAAUCUGAUGUUAAAACCAAAACCACACACAUAUAGCAUUUACAUUGCUUUAUGCAUAUAGACAGGCGUGUAGAUACAUAGACACAACAUACUUUCACAUGGAAACAAGUUAUGACCAUGUGCUGGAAAAAAUACUAAAAAGUGUCUGUGCAUUUCACCAGACCCUGAACCAGACGUCAUCAGAUAAGAAGUGAUUUAGAGAAAAUUUUUUAAAAACAGACACAGCUAAUUUCUGAGGGCAUUGAAACUACAGUAAGCUUUGCUGUACUAUGCUUAAGCACUGUCUGUUUUCAAAGCUCUUCAGGUUUUUUAGUCAAAUAAAGCAUUGCCAUGCAGGAAAGAAGGGUUAAUAAACUCCCUCCAAGCUGCAAGGAGUUGAUACAAGUUUGGGUUUAUUUUUUUACCAAUGUAUAAUUUAAAGGAAUUAAAUUCUGAGGACAAAGAUAAAAGAAGUAUCUGAGAUUUAUUACUACUAUUUUUUUUUAAAUAAAUAUUAUAUUUUUCCUUUGAAUGAAAAGGCAAAGAAAAUAUUUUCCAAACAGAAGUAGCAAAAACUACUUAGAAGAAAACCCAUAAACAAUUUUUUUAAAUACUCUGGAGUUUUCUGAACAGCUCUGAUGUACUCACAUUCUUAUCACAACUAUUUUUUAAACUAUUUUAAGUAGGUAUUCAAGGUAAAUUGAUGCUUUAUGUAUAUCCUGCCUCAAUUUGUAACACACUAUUCUCAGUAAAGACAUAGUUUGAAAAAAAAAUACAAAAAAAAAGUGAUACCACUGACAACAAUUUACUUAAAUUCACAAACCUUGAAAUUGAUGCAUCUCCUAUCAAUCAUAGUCAAAAGCUUCAGUAAAACACAUCCAACAUUUGUAUAUCAAAACUGGGACUAAGAAACCCUGUUUUGUUCAAUUUAAAUGUCCUUCAACAUGUUGUCAUUUUAUACACUGAAAUUACUGGGGGAUUUUUACUAUGGGUUGGCUUUCUUUUGUCAAACAUAUGCAAGACAGUAACCUUGCGCAAUUAAAGUGCAUGCCAUUAUACCGCACAGAUGUUUGUUCUCACUCAGUUACUGACAAUGAAAUACUUAUUAAAUAAUAAUAAGGUGAUAUUGACUUCUCUAUUCUGUCGAUAUGAAGAUCUGUUGAUCUGUGAGGUUAAUACUGAUGAGACAGAGUGAGGUAAACAUUUCAUCAGGAGGGCAAAUAAAUCCCAAUACUUGCAUAAGAAAUAAAACCCCCAACUUUGUACAUAAACAGAAGCUAAUCUUUUUUGUAUUUAUUUGGUACAUGAGCCCCAGUUCAACCUAUCAGCAUGCACAAGCUAAUGCUGAAGUAAGUCCUUAAUAUUACUUUCAGGAAACAUAUUCCAAAAAUGUCUAUCAUAAGUAUUUAAAACUAAGCUCAAAUGAUGCCAAGCUCUUUGAGUCUUUAGUCAUGCUGCAUGUUCUGCAGCGAAUGGCACAUUUUCUUUAAGUAUUACUAUAAGGUUUUACAAACAACCUCAAUAUUCUUCACAUUAAGGGAUUUCUGUUUGAGCCAGGGAAAUCAGAGAAAUACCUUUUUUUUUUUUUUUUAAUAAGAUGAGCUCUCUGUCAAAAUAUUAUUGUUUCUUCAUCAAAACGUUACUGAAAGUUCUCUGUCUUUACCCUCUGCCACAAAACACAAUAUUGUACACAUUUCGAACAAUACAAAGAGCCAUUUAACUUGAUGGGUCUGGCAGAAGAAGCUACUUUCUUAUUCAUUAUUAUCUUUAGAUUUUCCUUCAUUCUGUUUAAGGGAAGCUUAGAGCUGCUUUUUUAGAAGAAUAUUCCAUCAGUCAGGUAGGUCUCAUACUGUCUCUGACAGCAUUAUUUCAGUAUGUUGUUUUUAAUGUACGGUACUUAAACAUAUAUAAGGAAUCCAUGUCUUGCUUCUGGGCUUUUGAAUAGAAAUUAAAGAGAUGUGACCUAAUAUGUAAGACAGUAAGAGGCUGUAUAAUUUUUUAUAUUAGUGCCAAAAGAUGCACUUGUCAGUUUUCCCAAUUUGGUUAUUAAUUAAGACCUCAAUCCUGCAAUUAGACUUGCAGGAGCAAAACACAGGCGUGAAGCAACUCUGCCUGUCUCUUUGCCAGAGAAGACAACUCUGCCUUGUCGACAGUGUGACUGUUGACAAGGGAAGAGCUCAGUCACACAAUGCUUACUGUAAGGUAUCAUCGUAAAAUUCAAAACAUUACUUCAGCUGCCCUUGCCAGAGACCACAGCCUGAUUUCUGGGGCAGAAGAGCCAUUUUCACAGCCUCCUUCCUCUCACCUGUCUGUAGCAGAACUGCUGUGCCUCAGCAAAGAAAGUUGGGCAAACACUUGGCACUUUCUCUGCAUUAUGGUGACAUCUUGUUGGUAGGACAGUGCAGGAAAAAUCACAUUAUUGCUAUUUGUGCUGCUCCUGUUCUGAAGGUGUGAGGUUGGCCAUCUGCUGCUCCUUCCAGGGAUCACAUAAGGGUCUAAUACAUUUUAUUUUGUUGUUGGUAAAAUGUGAUGACUUUUGUCUGAGAGAGGUAACAAAACAUUUCUUUUUUGACCUCGUGCUUGCUUGUUCUUCUUCCCAGAGUGUUCUCAGAAGAACAUUGUUUCUGGGAUUUUUUGCACCUCAGGCCAUGAUGCUGUUUGAAGACUCCUGUCUCUGCAAAUUCCUGCGUUCACCCAAAUCUCUGUUAAAGGCAGUGGGGUUUUGUGUGCUUGUGUUCUACCAUGCUGUCUGCUUUUGGUUAUUUUUUAGAUAUUUUUAUCCUUCUGUAUCUUGAGAAUCUUUUUCGUACAAUUAUCUGAAGUAUGUCCCAAUUUCUGUGUAAUGGUAAUCAGAUGGCAGAGCAUCUGGGAGCAGUGCUUUGGUUCAUGGGUACCUUAUUUCCUACCAUGUGGUUGGAUGGUCUUAAAAAAAUUCCUUCUAACCCGCAUGUCAAGUAAUUCUGGUAACAAAGUUACCAGAAUAAGAAACUUUUCAAGCUUUAACUCACGCUGAGAUUCUCUGAAAGUUUGCUAACAUUUAAAAUAAAAAAAAUUAGGCAAUUUAGAAGCACAGAUUUUGGUAAUCUCAAGACUCUGAGGCAUAGUUCCACAUGUACAGAUAUAAAAACUAGAUGGUCUCAUGCCCUAGAAUAUCUUUAUAUGUAUUUGUCUGAACUGACUUAGUUUAGCUGAUCUUGGGUAUACAAAGGGAUCCAGGAAAUGAGUUGAAUACUUUUAGUAAGAACUGUAUUCAAGAAAUAUUAUUGUAUGAUGCUAUUUUAGUGCAUGCCUUUGCAAGUGCAAGGUGUAUUCCCUGUAAAAUUCUUAAUAUUCCAAGCUCAUUUUCCACUGCUGUUUCAAGGCUGGAGUUUCUGUAGCCGUGUUUCUUAUGUGGUAAUAAGGAUACUGAAGGAACAACUGUUCUGCUAGUGAAUUAAGCUGAAUAAGAGAAAAAAUAUGUAAUGACUUGGGCUCUUAUCUCUAGUCAUAUGCUUUGCAACACAGAUUGCAAGAGAAGGAAUAGACAGCAAACUCUGUAAAAUGAGGACAGUAAUUCCCAUGCUGUAAAAAUCCUCCUGCCUUAAGAACACUAGCAAUGAAAAGGUUACAAGAAAGAGGGUAAUAAAAAUAUCAGAAGAAACCAAAUAGAGAUAGGUUUCUUUGCAAGUAGAUAAGCCACUUUCUAAUAUGGUGGCCUUAUAUAUAAGUACAUUUGUCUUCCAGACCCUCUGCUGUUGAUUAGAAUUCUGAUGCCACUGGAGGGGUUACAGUUUUGUUGAGUUUCUGGAUCUCAAUUGCACUGUCAAGGGGUCAUUCUUUCUGGUAAUAAGGUAGCUAGUAACCCCUGGGAGAAAAGGAAAACAAUUGACUCUUGAAAGCAGAAACAUAUACUGAAGUCUAGAGUAGAUUUCUGGCAGUGGACCAGGUCUUUUCUCAUAGCAUUUGUCAUUGUAGCAAUGAAAAAAUUGUGGGAGUUUUACAGGCGGCCAAAAAAGAAAAACAGAGCACAACAACA